UAUGCCUGGAACCAUUAAUAGCUGUGAGACUGUGCGAGUUACAGUUGUUUUUUUUUAAAAAGUAAUUUUUAAAAACAUUUUGUGGGGUAGGAUUUGUAAAUCCCCAUGUAUAGCCUGAACUGCGGCACAGCUCAGAUACAAAGUACAGAUAAUUUGUUUUAUUGUUUUUGCGUAGAUCCCCAAGCUUAGGGCAUUCGUGGUGGUUUACAAUCUAUUAUUAAAAUGAAACAAACAGAAGGAUGACCCAAACGCUUCCUGGCCUUCGGUCCUUUUGGACAAGAACAGCUGGUUCUCUUCUGUUGUCCUUCAGCGUAUAAGAAACAAAUGAUCCCAAUGAAGAUCAAUUGAUCUGCAGAUCUUUAGGCUGCCCAAUUACGAAGGACGAAGCGGGACCCAACAAGCUUUUGCUGAGUAGUGAUCCAUCGAUGACAAAACAUUGCAGAAGUUUCCUCCGCUCUUCGCGACUGUCCUCGCUUUGUCCAGGUCAGCAUACAGAGG
Non-coding RNA from Pogona vitticeps (central bearded dragon), 498 nucleotides. The record is from RefSeq and is a predicted model, not a curated record. NCBI's taxonomy places the organism in Eukaryota, Metazoa, Chordata, Lepidosauria, Squamata, Agamidae.